This 903-nucleotide ribosomal RNA is filed under the name Helicoon pluriseptatum. RNAcentral describes it as "LSU rRNA". It matches the Rfam family "Eukaryotic large subunit ribosomal RNA", at positions 38 to 964 of the family's 3401-position model. The record is from RNAcentral. Lineage: Eukaryota; Fungi; Ascomycota; Dothideomycetes; Venturiales; Venturiaceae.
GCAUAUCAAUAAGCGGAGGAAAAGAAACCAACAGGGAUUGCCUCAGUAACGGCGAGUGAAGCGGCAACAGCUCAAAUUUGAAAUCUGGCUCACGCCCGAGUUGUAAUUUGUAGAGGAUGCUUCGGGUGAAGCCACGGUCCAAGUCCCUUGGAACAGGACGUCAUAGAGGGUGAGAACCCCGUACCUGGCCGUCGGUGCCCCCCGCUGUGAAGCUCCUUCGACGAGUCGAGUUGUUUGGGAAUGCAGCUCUAAAUUGGUGGUAAAUUCCAUCUAAAGCUAAAUACCGGCCAGAGACCGAUAGCGCACAAGUAGAGUGAUCGAAAGAUGAAAAGCACUUUGAAAAGAGAGUUAAAAAGUACGUGAAAUUGUUGAAAGGGAAGCGCUUGCGGCCAGACUUGCCCGCGGUUGCUCAGCCCGCCCUUUGGCGGGUGCACUCUUCCGCGGUCAGGCCAGCAUCGGUUUGGGCGGUCGGAUAAAGGCGUUGGGAACGUGGCCUCCCCUCGGGGAGGUGUUAUAGCCCGGCGCGCAAUGCGACCAGCCUGGACCGAGGUUCGCGCUCUGCUAGGAUGCUGGCGUAAUGGCCGUAAGCGGCCCGUCUUGAAACACGGACCAAGGAGUCUAACAUCUAUGCGAGUGUUUGGGUGUCAAACCCGUGCGCGUAAUGAAAGUGAACGGAGGUGGGAACCGUAAGGUGCACCAUCGACCGAUCCUGAUGUCUUCGGAAGGAUUUGAGUAAGAGCAUAGCUGUUGGGACCCGAAAGAUGGUGAACUAUGCGUGAAUAGGGUGAAGCCAGAGGAAACUCUGGUGGAGGCUCGCAGCGGUUCUGACGUGCAAAUCGAUCGUCAAAUUUGCGUAUAGGGGCGAAAGACUAAUCGAACCAUUUAGUAGCUGGUUCCUGCCGA